This is a long non-coding RNA of Gasterosteus aculeatus aculeatus (three-spined stickleback), 2253 nucleotides long. The record is from Ensembl. Lineage: Eukaryota; Metazoa; Chordata; Actinopteri; Perciformes; Gasterosteidae.
UGUCACUGGGGCAUCUGUCGCUGGUGGCGGGAGAAGGGAGAGGGGGGGAUAAAAAAAUGGGGGUAAAAGCUGCGUGCUGACACGAAGCUUCCCCCCCCCCCCCUCUCACCCUGCGCACAGAGAUGCAGCGGCGGCCCCCGCAGACGUCACUCCCCCCUGUCACUCACUCGCCCCCCCCCCAGGCUGCUUCACGCUCACUCCCUGAAGCAUAGCAACCCCUCCAACAUCUGCCCCCCCCCCUCUCUUCCUCUCUCUGGUCACGUCCGAUCAGGCAGAGAGACUCCGAGUCUGAAGGUGUUUGCAGCUCCGAGGUGGAUUCUUCGAACCAGCUGGCUUUCGAUCUUCCCCGGAGAGAGAGUCAGGUGGAUCUGUUCGGGGUUCUGCAGCAGCAGAUGUGGCGUCAGAUGUUAAGCUAAAACCCGAACGCGUUACAGAGUCAACGAGACGGAUGAAGAACGUUGAAGAAACGUGGACGAGAAGCUCCUCCGGCCCCCAGAAGACAUCCAGGAGGAACUCGUCUCCUGGAGAGCAGCAGGUACCAGGUCCAGACGCAAAGGUCUGGACCUUCUCAGAGCUCCUGUGCUGAUGCCCCACACGCUGCUUUGUUCUAUUGGACCUUUUUCACGAUGAGCCGAAUAAAGGAACUGAACCAAUGAGGCUGAUAUGAAGCUAAAGAGUCUGAGCAACGUUUCUACGUCAGGAGAGAAAAGUGGUUUGAUUUGAUUCAUGACUUUAACAUAAAGAGCCAGAUGCCACCUUGAACUCCUUAAAAUGAAAUAAAACCAAAUUAAGCGCCAGAUUAAGAUUCAGAGGAUCAACGUUCUACAUUGAGGAGCAGAAAAGGGCGUUAAAAGAAUACAAAUUUCAGAAUGAAACCUCCUGUCCCUGAAAUAAAACGUAUGAAUCCUCUUUGCGGCGUUUUAUUUUAAAUGAAAAGGACAACAGGCUUUUGAUAGAAGCUGUCAAAUCAUUUACUGACACCACAACACAAACUUACAGUUUGACAUGUGUAUUUUAUAUCUUGACAUUACUGCAUCUUAACACGGAAGCAGUGAUUUUAUUAAUUCAUCACAGCAACGCAUCGUGUUUUAUGAUGUGGUUUUAGGUUUUGUGUGUCAAUCAUAAAAGUAUAUUUAGUUUUUUUGUGGAGUAAAGAGAGUGAAAUAGCAAAGAAGAGUACUGAACAGUGUGAUACAGGUGAUCUGAACGUGUAAAAUGUUUCAAAAGUGUCUAAAUAUGUUUUGGAAAAAACUGCCAUGGAAUAACAAGCCCGUCAGGUUGUCUAGAACAAGUAUUUUGGGGAUUGCUGAACAUCAUUGGGGUCGUGCACACAGCUUGUUCAUCAUUUUCACAUUCUGAAUAAGAUCAUAAUUCCAUCUCGACUGCUGGUUUCCUCUCAUAUUCACCGCACGGCUUCAUCGGCUACAAGCCUCCAUGUGGAUGUGGAGACGCAGCUCGCAGGCUGCAGGGGAUCGUUUACGUGUGUGUGCUCCUUUACGGCAGCGUGAGGGCAACACACACACACACACACACACACACACACACACACGCACACACACACACACACACUCUCCUCGUCUCCUUUCUUGCAUCGGUUCAUCCGCUGAGCAUAAUCUCAAUCUGAAAAAACAUUCCUCCUUUAAAAAAAGACAAAGAAACAAUUUUCGUGCCUCCACCAAAUAAAAUAAAUCAAAACCCAAUCAGAUUAAGUUUUAAAUGACGUCAUACUUUGGAUUGCGAUGGGUUUUUCAGAUUUAGAGGUGUUGAGGUGUUUUGUUUGCGAUUUAUUUAAUAUGACCCGGCUUUAAUCCUCGUAACGUUACAUAAGUGCAGGACGGUAACUGAGUUGUACCUGCCUGAGACCCCCGGCCGGCCCCCCACCUCAGAGCCUCAGAUUCAGUCGGUGGGAAAUCACAUUGUUGACCUUCUCUUUUAUUUGUUCUGUUGUUGUGCGUUGCUUUUUAACCCCCCCCCCCCCCCCCCUGCACGGGGAGCCAGGAGCUGUUGAUGGGCUGCGCCUCCAAUCUCUGUGUAUAUUGAUGGGACAGGAGAUGGCGAGGGGGGGGGAGGGGGGGCGGGGGUACCGGCUGUGUGUGUGUGUGUGUGUGUGUGUGUGUGAGGGGUGGGGGAGGCGAGGUGCCGGCGGGCGUAAAAAGUCCACUACUAUUUGUCACAGUCGAGUGUGUGCGUGGCUGUCAGUGGCGCCUGCCUGCACGCCGCUGCAAAGGCCUCUGGGAGCCCCGCGUCUCGCUG